CCUANGGGGGGCAGCAGUGGGGAAUCUUCCGCAAUGGGCGAAAGCCUGACGGAGCAACGCCGCGUGGGGGACGAAGGCCUUCGGGUCGUAAACCCCUGUCAUGGGGAAAGAUGGGCGUCGGGGUGAACAGCCCCGAUGCUUGACGGUACCUCAAGAGGAAGCCACGGCCAACUCCGUGCCAGCAGCCGCGGUAAUACGGAGGUGGCAAGCGUUGUUCGGAUUCACUGGGCGUAAAGGGUGCGUAGGCGGUCGGGUAAGUCUAACGUGAAAUCUUCAAGCUCAACUUGGAAACUGCGUCGGAUACUACUUGGAUAGAGGAAUGGAGGGGAGACUGGAAUACUUGGUGUAGCAGUGAAAUGCGUAGAUAUCAAGUGGAACACCAGUGGCGAAGGCGAGUCUCUGGACAUUUCCUGACGCUGAGGCACGAAAGCCAGGGGAGCAAACGGGAUUAGAUACCCGUNUAGUC
Molecule: ribosomal RNA, 466 nt
Filed under: uncultured bacterium
Lineage: Bacteria
Description: bacterial SSU rRNA
Rfam family: Bacterial small subunit ribosomal RNA
Source: RNAcentral